Non-coding RNA from Cyprinodon tularosa, 562 nucleotides. Lineage: Eukaryota; Metazoa; Chordata; Actinopteri; Cyprinodontiformes; Cyprinodontidae. The record is from the annotation of a RefSeq genome assembly.
CAAUUUCUCAUCCAAACUAAAUGUUCUGUUGUUUUAUUUUUAUACCACUUCAUGAUAUUUCCCAUAAAGCUGAUGUUUUGGUUAAUGUGUUUGUGUCAGAGUCAGAGAGCCGUGUCUCUCUACAGUCAGAGGUUUUUGUACGACCACUCAAUGAGUUUGUAUCACUGUGGUGGACUUUUGGUGGAGGAACCAGACUGGAUGUUGGAAGUGAUGCUCGUCCCACCCUGACAGUGCUGCCCCCCUCCAGUGAGGAGCUGCAGCAGGGGAAGGCCACCCUCAUGUGUCUGGCCAACAAGGGUUUCCCCUCAGAUUGGAGUCUGUCCUGGAAGGUGGACGGCAGCAGCAGCAGCAGCUGGGAGGAGAACAAGAGCAGAGGAGUGCUGCAGAAGGACGGCCUCUACAGCUGGAGCAGCACCCUGAGGCUCCCUGCAGACCAGUGGAGGAAGGUGGGCUCUGUGACCUGUGAGGCCACCCAGGGCUCCCAGUCUGCAGUCACAGAGACACUGAGGAGAGACCAGUGUUCCCAGUGACAACCUGAUUUGUUCUUUUUUUUUCUUUUCAG